ACCCAGUUGACGAGUCCUAAGUGGGAGGAAACACACGUCCUGGAU
Molecule: non-coding RNA, 45 nt
Filed under: Schistosoma margrebowiei
Lineage: Eukaryota; Metazoa; Platyhelminthes; Trematoda; Strigeidida; Schistosomatidae
Source: RNAcentral